UAACGCGAAGAACCUUACCACCUUUUGACAUGCCUGGACCGCUGCAGAGAUGCAGCUUUCCCUUCGGGGACUAGGACACAGGUGCUGCAUGGCUGUCGUCAGCUCGUGUCGUGAGAUGUUGGGUUAAGUCCCGCAACGAGCGCAACCCUCGCUAUUAGUUGCCAUCAGGUUUGGCUGGGCACUCUAAUAGGACUGCCGGUGGUAAGCCGGAGGAAGGUGGGGAUGACGUCAAGUCCUCAUGGCCCUUACAAGGUGGGCUACACACGUGCUACAAUGGCGACUACAGAGGGUUGCAACCCCGCGAGGGUGAGCUAAUCCCCAAAAGUCGUCUCAGUUCGGAUUGCACUCUGCAACUCGAGUGCAUGAAGUUGGAAUCGCUAGUAAUCGCGGAUCAGCACGCCGCGGUGAAUACGUUCCCGGGUCUUGUACACACCGA
This 436-nucleotide ribosomal RNA is filed under the name uncultured bacterium. RNAcentral describes it as "bacterial SSU rRNA". It matches the Rfam family "Bacterial small subunit ribosomal RNA", at positions 957 to 1393 of the family's 1533-position model. The record is from RNAcentral.